AAUUUUGGACAAUGGGGGCAACCCUGAUCCAGCCAUGCCGCGAGUGGGAAGAAGCUCUUCGGUUUGUAAAGCACUUUAAGUUGGGAGGAAGGGCUUUAGGUUAAUACCCUGAAGUUUUGACGUUACCAAAAGAAAAAGCACCGGCUAACUCUGUGCCAGCAGCCGCGGUAAUACAGGGGGUGCAAGCGUUAAUCGGAAUUACUGGGCGUAAAGCGCGCGUAGGUGGUUCAGUAAGAUGGGUGUGAAAUCCCCGGGCUUAACCUGGGAACUGCUUUCAUAACUGCUGAGCUAGAGUACGGUAGAGGGUAGUGGAAUUUCCUGUGUAGCGGUGAAAUGCGUAGAUAUAGGAAGGAACACCAGUGGCGAAGGCGACUACCUGGACUGAUACUGACACUGAGGUGCGAAAGCGUGGGGAGCAAAC
Molecule: ribosomal RNA, 421 nt
Filed under: uncultured bacterium
Lineage: Bacteria
Description: partial 16S ribosomal RNA
Rfam family: Bacterial small subunit ribosomal RNA
Source: RNAcentral